This 340-nucleotide ribosomal RNA is filed under the name uncultured bacterium. RNAcentral's name for it is "partial 16S ribosomal RNA". It matches the Rfam family "Bacterial small subunit ribosomal RNA", at positions 524 to 874 of the family's 1533-position model. The record is from RNAcentral.
UACGGGGGGGCAAGCGUUGUUCGGAAUUACUGGGCGUAAAGGGCUCGUAGGCGGCCAACUAAGUCAGACGUGAAAUCCCUCGGCUUAACCGGGGAACUGCGUCUGAUACUGGAUGGCUCGAGUUUGGGAGAGGGAUGCGGAAUUCCAGGUGUAGCGGUGAAAUGCGUAGAUAUCUGGAGGAACACCGGUGGCGAAGGCGGCAUCCUGGACCAACACUGACGCUGAUGAGCGAAAGCCAGGGGAGCAAACGGGAUUAGAAACCCGGGAUCGAGUCCAGUACCCAAGUCUACCAUGCUCCCGUAAUCAACCCCGGACAUGCCCCACUAGGAAGUAGGCCCUU